CCUACGGGCGGCAGCAGUGAGGAAUAUUGGUCAAUGGACGCAAGUCUGAACCAGCAAAGUAGCGUGAAGGAUGAAGGCCCUCCGGGUUGUAAACUGCUUUUAGUUGGGAAUAAAAUGUUCCACGUGUGGGUUUUUGUAUGUACCAUAUGAAUAAGGAUCGGCUAACUCCGUGCCAGCAGCCGCGGUAAUACGGAGGAUCCGAGCGUUAUCCGGAUUUAUUGGGUUUAAAGGGAGCGUAGGUGGAUUGUUAAGUCAGUUGUGAAAGUUUGCGGCUCAACCGUAAAAUUGCAGUUGAUACUGGCAGUCUUGAGUACAGUAGAGGUGGGCGGAAUUCGUGGUGUAGCGGUGAAAUGCGUAGAUAUCACGAAGAACUCCGAUUGCGAAGGCAGUUCACUGGACUGCAACUGACACUGAGGCUCGAAAGUGUGGGGAUCAAACAGGAUUAGAUACCCGGGUAGUC
This 460-nucleotide ribosomal RNA is filed under the name uncultured bacterium. RNAcentral describes it as "partial 16S ribosomal RNA". It matches the Rfam family "Bacterial small subunit ribosomal RNA", at positions 338 to 795 of the family's 1533-position model. The record is from RNAcentral.